AAUAUUGCACAAUGGGCGAAAGCCUGAUCCAGCCAUGCCGCGUGAGUGAUGAAGGCCCUAGGGUUGUAAAGCCCUUUCAACGGUGAAGAUAAGGACGGUAACCGUAGAAGAAGCCCCGGCUAACUUCGUGCCAGCAGCCGCGGUAAUACGAAGGGGGCUAGCGUUGUUCGGAUUUACUGGGCGUAAAGCGCACGUAGGCGGAUUGUUAAGUGAGGGGUGAAAUCCCAGGGCUCAACCCUGGAACUGCCUCUCAUACUGGCAAUCUAGAGUUCGAGAGAGGUGAGUGGAAUUCCGAGUGUAGAGGUGAAAUUCGUAGAUAUUCGGAGGAACGCCAGUGGCGAAGGCGGCUCACUGGCUCGAUACUGACGCUGAGGUGCGAAAGCGUGGGGAGCAAACAG
Molecule: ribosomal RNA, 398 nt
Filed under: uncultured bacterium
Lineage: Bacteria
Description: partial 16S ribosomal RNA
Rfam family: Bacterial small subunit ribosomal RNA
Source: RNAcentral